GGUUAAGCGACUAAGCGUACACGGUGGAUGCCCUGGCAGUCAGAGGCGAUGAAGGACGUGCUAAUCUGCGAUAAGCGUCGGUAAGGUGAUAUGAACCGUUAUAACCGGCGAUUUCCGAAUGGGGAAACCCAGUGUGAUUCGUCACACUAUCAUUAACUGAAUCCAUAGGUUAAUGAGGCGAACCGGGGGAACUGAAACAUCUAAGUACCCCGAGGAAAAGAAAUCAACCGAGAUUCCCCCAGUAGCGGCGAGCGAACGGGGAGGAGCCCAGAGCCUGAAUCAGUGUGUGUGUUAGUGGAAGCGUCUGGAAAGGCGCGCGAUACAGGGUGACAGCCCCGUACACAAAAAUGCACAUGCUGUGAGCUCGAUGAGUAGGGCGGGACACGUGGUAUCCUGUCUGAAUAUGGGGGGACCAUCCUCCAAGGCUAAAUACUCCUGACUGACCGAUAGUGAACCAGUACCGUGAGGGAAAGGCGAAAAGAACCCCGGCGAGGGGAGUGAAAAAGAACCUGAAACCGUGUACGUACAAGCAGUGGGAGCACAGAGCAAUCUGUGUGACUGCGUACCUUUUGUAUAAUGGGUCAGCGACUUAUAUUCUGUAGCAAGGUUAACCGAAUAGGGGAGCCGAAGGGAAACCGAGUCUUAACUGGGCGUUAAGUUGCAGGGUAUAGACCCGAAACCCGGUGAUCUAGCCAUGGGCAGGUUGAAGGUUGGGUAACACUAACUGGAGGACCGAACCGACUAAUGUUGAAAAAUUAGCGGAUGACUUGUGGCUGGGGGUGAAAGGCCAAUCAAACCGGGAGAUAGCUGGUUCUCCCCGAAAGCUAUUUAGGUAGCGCCUCGUGAAUUCAUCUCCGGGGGUAGAGCACUGUUUCGGCAAGGGGGUCAUCCCGACUUACCAACCCGAUGCAAACUGCGAAUACCGGAGAAUGUUAUCACGGGAGACACACGGCGGGUGCUAACGUCCGUCGUGAAGAGGGAAACAACCCAGACCGCCAGCUAAGGUCCCAAAGUCAUGGUUAAGUGGGAAACGAUGUGGGAAGGCCCAGACAGCCAGGAUGUUGGCUUAGAAGCAGCCAUCAUUUAAAGAAAGCGUAAUAGCUCACUGGUCGAGUCGGCCUGCGCGGAAGAUGUAACGGGGCUAAACCAUGCACCGAAGCUGCGGCAGCGACACUGUGUGUUGUUGGGUAGGGGAGCGUUCUGUAAGCCUGUGAAGGUGUGCUGUGAGGCAUGCUGGAGGUAUCAGAAGUGCGAAUGCUGACAUAAGUAACGAUAAAGCGGGUGAAAAGCCCGCUCGCCGGAAGACCAAGGGUUCCUGUCCAACGUUAAUCGGGGCAGGGUGAGUCGACCCCUAAGGCGAGGCCGAAAGGCGUAGUCGAUGGGAAACAGGUUAAUAUCCUGUACUUGGUGUUACUGCGAAGGGGGGACGGAGAAGGCUAUGUUGGCCGGGCGACGGUUGUCCCGGUUUAAGCGUGUAGGCUGGUUUUCCAGGCAAAUCCGGAAAAUCAAGGCUGAGGCGUGAUGACGAGGCACUACGGUGCUGAAGCAACAAAUGCCCUGCUUCCAGGAAAAGCCUCUAAGCAUCAGGUAACAUCAAAUCGUACCCCAAACCGACACAGGUGGUCAGGUAGAGAAUACCAAGGCGCUUGAGAGAACUCGGGUGAAGGAACUAGGCAAAAUGGUGCCGUAACUUCGGGAGAAGGCACGCUGAUAUGUAGGUGAAGUCCCUCGCGGAUGGAGCUGAAAUCAGUCGAAGAUACCAGCUGGCUGCAACUGUUUAUUAAAAACACAGCACUGUGCAAACACGAAAGUGGACGUAUACGGUGUGACGCCUGCCCGGUGCCGGAAGGUUAAUUGAUGGGGUCAGCGCAAGCGAAGCUCUUGAUCGAAGCCCCGGUAAACGGCGGCCGUAACUAUAACGGUCCUAAGGUAGCGAAAUUCCUUGUCGGGUAAGUUCCGACCUGCACGAAUGGCGUAAUGAUGGCCAGGCUGUCUCCACCCGAGACUCAGUGAAAUUGAACUCGCUGUGAAGAUGCAGUGUACCCGCGGCAAGACGGAAAGACCCCGUGAACCUUUACUAUAGCUUGACACUGAACAUUGAGCCUUGAUGUGUAGGAUAGGUGGGAGGCUUUGAAGUGUGGACGCCAGUCUGCAUGGAGCCGACCUUGAAAUACCACCCUUUAAUGUUUGAUGUUCUAACGUGGACCCGUGAUCCGGGUUGCGGACAGUGUCUGGUGGGUAGUUUGACUGGGGCGGUCUCCUCCUAAAGAGUAACGGAGGAGCACGAAGGUUGGCUAAUCCUGGUCGGACAUCAGGAGGUUAGUGCAAUGGCAUAAGCCAGCUUGACUGCGAGCGUGACGGCGCGAGCAGGUGCGAAAGCAGGUCAUAGUGAUCCGGUGGUUCUGAAUGGAAGGGCCAUCGCUCAACGGAUAAAAGGUACUCCGGGGAUAACAGGCUGAUACCGCCCAAGAGUUCAUAUCGACGGCGGUGUUUGGCACCUCGAUGUCGGCUCAUCACAUCCUGGGGCUGAAGUAGGUCCCAAGGGUAUGGCUGUUCGCCAUUUAAAGUGGUACGCGAGCUGGGUUUAGAACGUCGUGAGACAGUUCGGUCCCUAUCUGCCGUGGGCGCUGGAGAACUGAGGGGGGCUGCUCCUAGUACGAGAGGACCGGAGUGGACGCAUCACUGGUGUUCGGGUUGUCAUGCCAAUGGCACUGCCCGGUAGCUAAAUGCGGAAGAGAUAAGUGCUGAAAGCAUCUAAGCACGAAACUUGCCCCGAGAUGAGUUCUCCCUGACCCUUUAAGGGUCCUGAAGGAACGUUGAAGACGACGACGUUGAUAGGCCGGGUGUGUAAGCGCAGCGAUGCGUUGAGCUAACCGGUACUAAUGAACCGUGAGGCUUAACCUU
This 2904-nucleotide ribosomal RNA is filed under the name Escherichia coli. Its description in RNAcentral is "23S ribosomal RNA". It matches the Rfam family "Bacterial large subunit ribosomal RNA". The record is from RNAcentral. Lineage: Bacteria; Pseudomonadati; Pseudomonadota; Gammaproteobacteria; Enterobacterales; Enterobacteriaceae.